Molecule: ribosomal RNA, 683 nt
Filed under: uncultured bacterium
Lineage: Bacteria
Description: bacterial SSU rRNA
Rfam family: Bacterial small subunit ribosomal RNA
Source: RNAcentral
UAUUGAAAGUUACGGCGGCGACGGAUUGGCUCGCGUCCGAUUAGCUUGUUGGCGGGGUAACGGCCCACCAAGGCUACGAUCGGUAGGGGUUCUGAGAGGAAGGCCCCCCACAAUGGGACUGAGACACGGCCCAUACUCCUACGGGAGGCAGCAGUGAGGAAUAUUGGUCAAUGGGCGGAAGCCUGAACCAGCCAUGCCGCGUGCGGGAAGGAGGCCCUAUGGGCUGUGAACCGCUUUUGCCUGGGGGCAAUAAGGGCGUCGCGCACGUCCGAUGAGAGUACCAGGCGAAUAAGCAUCGGCUAACUCCGUGCCAGCAGCCGCGGUAAUACGGGGGAUGCGAGCGUUAUCCGGAUUCAUUGGGUUUAAAGGGUGCGUAGGCUGUGCGUCAAGUCGGGGGUGAAAUUCCGGUGCUCAACACCGGGGCUGCCCUUGAUACUGUCGCGCUGGAGUGCGGAUGCCGCCGGAGGAAUGAGUGGUGUAGCGGUGAAAUGCUUAGAUAUCACUCAGAACACCGAUUGCGAAGGCAUCUGGCGAAUCCGUAACUGACGCUGAGGCACGAAAGCGUGGGGAUAGAACAGGAUUAGAUACCCUGGUAUUCCACGCCGUAAACGAUGAUGGCUAACCGCCGGCGACACACUGUCGGUGGCCAAGCGAAAGCGAUAAGCCAUCCACCUGGGGAGUAC